CCAUUUAUACAAGAAAUAUAUUAUAUAAUUGUAUGAAGAUGAUCAUUUUUGGGAAGUUGUCUAUACAUAUCACAGGGUUAAUUGAAUAAGACAACAAAAUGAAAUGAUCACGAGUGUAGUUAGAACUUAAAGGAAGGUUUGGAGAAGAAAAAUAAGAAAAAUAGUGAUAAAGAUAAUGACAAUAACAGCGAUAAUAAGUAAGCAGGUAAUUGGAAAUCAAAGUCAAGAUAAGAACAUGAAUGUUGGAAAGGUUUGAGAGGACAAUCUUGGUAUGAAAGUUAAGUUACAAUUAGAUUUAGAGUACAGGACUUUUGAAUGCUUAAAUGAAAAGAGAUAGCAUUAGGAAUGGACUUGGAUAAGGGUAUAAGGAAUAAAUACCUUCUUAGACUUAAAUAAGAAAAAGAUCGAUUGGUUAAAGACAGA
This 423-nucleotide long non-coding RNA is filed under the name Jatropha curcas. RNAcentral's name for it is "long non-coding RNA (JCUR_LNC002291)". Lineage: Eukaryota; Viridiplantae; Streptophyta; Magnoliopsida; Malpighiales; Euphorbiaceae. The record is from RNAcentral.